GGAGAGGUGUCAGAGUGGCCGAUUGAGCACGCUUGGAAAGCGUGUGAACCUUUACCGGUUCCGCGGGUUCGAAUCCCGCCCUCUCCGCCA
RNAcentral lists this transfer RNA (90 nucleotides) under Verrucomicrobiota bacterium. Its description in RNAcentral is "Verrucomicrobia bacterium (microbial mat metagenome) tRNA-Ser". It matches the Rfam family "tRNA". Rfam says of the family: Transfer RNA (tRNA) molecules are approximately 80 nucleotides in length. Their secondary structure includes four short double-helical elements and three loops (D, anti-codon, and T loops). Lineage: Bacteria; Pseudomonadati; Verrucomicrobiota. The record is from RNAcentral.